Vibrio sp. is the source of this 48-nucleotide non-coding RNA. Lineage: Bacteria; Pseudomonadati; Pseudomonadota; Gammaproteobacteria; Vibrionales; Vibrionaceae. The record is from Rfam.
AAGUGAGGACGACCUCACCGCUCCAUCUUUUCUUCGGGGACGACCCCA